UACUUGCAACACAGAAAUCCGAAGUAAAUAACCAAAGAGAAGAGACGAUAGCACAGGCGUUCAUUUCCCUUUUUCUCUGGGAUGCAUUCUCGUACUUUGGCAACUAUUCCACAAAGAUAAUGUCGACCGAUUAACUUUCUUGGGAUGGAGAUUGAGGAAUACGAAGCUGGGACGAAAUGGUGUACUCGGCGAAAGGAUAUUAGAGAAAAAACACUCCCCACGUGUAAGAUAUCAUUCAAAACUGGCUAUAAAAGCCCGUAGAGAGCUUGGUUCGUAGUUUUCGUUGGCUGGUUCAUCUUUCUUAUGGACACCGAGGAUGAAUUCACUGAGGUAUUCAUUGAGUUCUUUCGCAGGAAUCUUUUCUAUAGCACUAGGAGUGCCACAUCGUUCUGUCUUUUUUUCUAGUGUUUUCGUUUUCCUGGCUCUCAAUAAACUCAGUGAUUGAGUCCAUUUGAACAAAUCUUGAGCAACAACCUUCCAUGUUUAAGAACUUUUGGCAACAAACACUCAAAAGCAAGCUGACACUUUCUGCAUGAAGCAAAAUAAUGCAGUACUCUCAGGUUCAGUACACUAGAUCCUACUGUCGACUGCAGGCUAGUACCUUUCUUUGGCAAAUUAGUCAAACAUAACUUCAUUAAAUACUAAAGCAAUA
Actinia tenebrosa (Australian red waratah sea anemone) is the source of this 652-nucleotide long non-coding RNA. The record is from RefSeq and is a predicted model, not a curated record. NCBI's taxonomy places the organism in Eukaryota, Metazoa, Cnidaria, Anthozoa, Actiniaria, Actiniidae.